Molecule: long non-coding RNA, 161 nt
Organism: Clupea harengus (Atlantic herring)
Lineage: Eukaryota; Metazoa; Chordata; Actinopteri; Clupeiformes; Clupeidae
Exons: 3
Source: RefSeq, a predicted model, not a curated record
ACAGUGAAUUUAAACAUCUCUGACGACACAAAGGAACCAUCUUGUGUAUUUUUGGACUUCUCAAACAAAAAUUUCAGCCAAGAAGGCUGCUCAACCGAGUGGAUAAAAGAGAAUGCCACAGUGGUCUGUUCUUGUAACCACCUGACUUACUUCGCUGUACU